RNAcentral lists this ribosomal RNA (216 nucleotides) under Glomeromycotina sp. Its description in RNAcentral is "partial small subunit ribosomal RNA". The stretch from base 40 to 216 matches the Rfam family "Eukaryotic small subunit ribosomal RNA", at positions 686 to 864 of the family's 1831-position model. The record is from RNAcentral. Lineage: Eukaryota; Fungi; Glomeromycota.
GGGUCAGUAGGUUGGUCGUGCCACCGGUAAGUACUAGUCUCACUGAUUCCUCCUUCCUGAAGAACCGUAAUGCCAUUAAUUUGGUGUUGCGGGGAAACAGGACUGUUACUUUGAAAAAAUUAGAGUGUUUAAAGCAAGCUAACGCUUGAAUACAUUAGCAUGGAAUAAUGAAAUAGGACGAUCGAUCCUAUUUUGUUGGUUUCUAGGAUUGACGUA